GACGAACGCUGGCGGCGUGCUUAACACAUGCAAGUCGAACGAAGAGCGAUGGAAGCUUGCUUCUAUCAAUCUUAGUGGCGAACGGGUGAGUAACGCGUAAUCAACCUGCCCUUCAGAGGGGGACAACAGUUGGAAACGACUGCUAAUACCGCAUACGAUCUAAACUCGGCAUCGAGGAUAGAUGAAAGGUGGCCUCUACAUGUAAGCUAUCACUGAAGGAGGGGAUUGCGUCUGAUUAGCUAGUUGGAGGGGUAACGGCCCACCAAGGCGAUGAUCAGUAGCCGGGCGGAGAGGAUGAACGGCCACAUUGGGACUGAGACACGGCCCAGACUCCUACGGGAGGCAGCAGUGGGGAAUCUUCCGCAAUGGACGAAAGUCUGACGGAGCAACGCCGCGUGAGUGAUGACGGCCUUCGGGUUGUAAAGCUCUGUUAAUCGGGACGAAAGGCCUUCUUGCGAAUAGUGAGAAGGAUUGACGGUACCGGAAUAGAAAGCCACGGCUAACUACGUG
This 510-nucleotide ribosomal RNA is filed under the name uncultured bacterium. RNAcentral describes it as "partial 16S ribosomal RNA". It matches the Rfam family "Bacterial small subunit ribosomal RNA", at positions 28 to 507 of the family's 1533-position model. The record is from RNAcentral.